This 449-nucleotide ribosomal RNA is filed under the name uncultured organism. Its description in RNAcentral is "partial 16S ribosomal RNA". It matches the Rfam family "Bacterial small subunit ribosomal RNA", at positions 333 to 798 of the family's 1533-position model. The record is from RNAcentral.
ACACUCCUACGGGAGGCAGCAGUGGGGAAUAUUGGACAAUGGGCGCAAGCCUGAUCCAGCCAUGCCGCGUGAGUGAUGAAGGCCCUAGGGUUGUAAAGCUCUUUCACCGGUGAAGAUAAUGACGGUAACCGGAGAAGAAGCCCCGGCUAACUUCGUGCCAGCAGCCGCGGUAAUACGAAGGGGGCUAGCGUUGUUCGGAUUUACUGGGCGUAAAGCGCACGUAGGCGGACUAUUAAGUCAGGGGUGAAAUCCCGGGGCUCAACCCCGGAACUGCCUUUGAUACUGGUAGUCUUGAGUUCGAGAGAGGUGAGUGGAAUUCCGAGUGUAGAGGUGAAAUUCGUAGAUAUUCGGAGGAACACCAGUGGCGAAGGCGGCUCACUGGCUCGAUACUGACGCUGAGGUGCGAAAGCGUGGGGAGCAAACAGGAUUAGAAACCCCGGUAGUCCCAU